Long non-coding RNA from Megalobrama amblycephala (Wuchang bream), 2003 nucleotides. RefSeq lists it as uncharacterized. The record is from RefSeq and is a predicted model, not a curated record. The transcript is spliced from 9 exons. Lineage: Eukaryota; Metazoa; Chordata; Actinopteri; Cypriniformes; Xenocyprididae.
GGAGCAAAACUUGGAACCAGUCAUGGUCGAGGAUCUUGUCCAAGUCAAUCCUCUUGUUUGGAUUUUUUUCCAUGCAUGAAGAUAUCAGUUCUCUGCAUUCUGUGAAGAAAGUGGGGAGAGAUGUCAGAUUAUUAUUGGACAGGUGUUGGUGACAUACAUGCAGAAGAAUCUUGGACUGCAACGCAGCUGUGAGAUGUGCACUGCCCCAUUGCGUCAGAUGUCUCGCUGAUGUUCUGUCACAAACUUUAUCACAAAUCGACUGAACUUUUAUAGCACACAGAUCAGUGAAAAACUACAAAUCAAGUGAUAUAACACACACAGUCAGAGUGAUAUAACACAACUUGCGCGACUUUCACCACAGAUGUACUACAGUACUAGUCAGAUCGAUUGAUGCAGCAGAAACAGAUGAACUGAACUUCAGUCUUCGCGGGGUUUCAUUUAUAGGCUGUGGGAGACUCUGACUGUGACGUCACAAGUGCUGACGCGUCGGCCGGUUGCCAAGGGAUUUUUUCGAAUGUUUUGGUCACGUGAAUAUACAGAUACACGCAAACGAUAACUGCUAUUGUUUAGACAUAAAAUAAAUAUAUUUAUCAACUUUAUCUUCAAACAUUUCUUCAUUCAAAAGCUUCAUGUCACGAUUACUACAACUUCUGAUGUCAAACCCGGAGCUCGACGAUCAUAAUCGACUCGAGGUCUGACACCAACGCCUGACCCUAACCCUGUCCUGUCCAUCAGGGAUCGGGACCUUGCCUCAGUCUGGUUCAAGUGGAAUCGGCCCAUCGCCUGGCUCAGGUCAUUCGAAAUAUGAUGUGCUUGGUGAGCUGGGAUGGGGAUCCUUUGGCUGUGUCAAAAUGGGAAUUCGGAAGUCUGAUCACAGAAAGGCAGACCUUCCUUUCUUUUUUGUGAGUACAGUGAAGCAGAAGGACACCCGAGGCCUGACACCAUUAAGCUUGGCCCUUAAACAGACUCGCUCGUCUCUGGGUUUAUUCUGAGUCAGGUGGCACAUUCAGCCCUCAUCAGUGCGCCCACAGAGCCCACCUUGAACUUCCUGUACGGACUGAAAUGUCGCACCUCUGCAACCACAUACUGCUGGAAGAAAGGGUGGUUUAAGGCAUCUGUGGCAGUGUAACGUGUCUCGGGAUUCACCACCAACAACCUGGAGAUCUGGAAGUUUAAACAGCCCAUGAACACCACAGGUCUGCACCAGACGCACCAGGUCUUUGACAGUGUCUGAACGGUCAUCCCACUCCGGAGAGGUGAACUCGUAACUUCCUGCUAGGAUCAUGCGCAGCAUUAGCAUCUGCUUCCUGUGCCAGAAGGGAGGGGAACCUGCAAGAAGGGUGUACAUGAUCACCCCUGCACUCCAGCUGAAAAAGACAAGAAACGAUAAACAAAAAGAUCAACGAAAGUCUUAUUAUGGAUUUGGAACGACAUGAGGAAGAGUAAAUGAUGGAGGAUUUUCAACCCUUUAAUAUUCUCUAUGCCUGGCAGCUAGACCGGUGCCGCUUCAGUGACCGCUCCAUGUUUCACGCCUCUGGUUCCUUGAGCCGCUGCCUGAUCUCCAGUAUUGUCACUCCAUCAGGUCUGCCUCACCUCUUCAGUUCUCCGGCCUAACAUCACCUGCCUGUUCUCCUGUCGUGUGCCCUGUCCUGCUGUUUGGAUUGUCUUCACGCCUCACCUUCCUCCUUGUGCCCAGUGUCAUUAAAUAUCACCCAUUGCUCAUUCUGCGUCUGGGUCCUCUCUCUAGCGGAUUGCGUGACAGAAUCUUCGGUUUUAAAAAAAACACGCCCAAGAUGGUGCGCUACAAAUUUCACGUCCCUCUAGUUGUAUUUGCUUUUCGUCGAUUUUCAUGUGAAUCUAACAAGUUUGACAUUGAUAUAAAAAAGUCAACAAAUCUUAUUCUCAUUAACAUCAAGUGAAAAUAAUAAUGUUUAUUAUUUCAAUGGCGGUGAAUAUGACCGGGACAUUUUUCCAUCUUCACUAAAAUAUGUGUACAAUAUUGA